Molecule: ribosomal RNA, 459 nt
Filed under: uncultured bacterium
Lineage: Bacteria
Description: bacterial SSU rRNA
Rfam family: Bacterial small subunit ribosomal RNA
Source: RNAcentral
UACGGAAGGCAGCAGUGGGGAAUAUUGCACAAUGGGCGAAAGCCUGAUGCAGCUAUGCCGCGUGUAUGAAGAAGGCCUUAGGGUUGUAAAGUACUUUCAUCGGGGAGGAAAAAACAAAACUAAUAAUUUUAUUUCUUGACGUUACCCGAAAAAGAAGCACCGGCUAACUCCGUGCCAGCAGCCGCGGUAAUACGGAGGGUGCUAGCGUUAAUCAGAAUUACUGGGCGUAAACGAGCACGUAGGUGGUUUUUUUAAGUCAGAUGUGAAAUCCCUGGGCUUAACCUGGAAACUGCAUUUUGAAACUGAAAUACUAGAGUAUCGUAGAGGGAGGUAGAAUUCUAGGUGUAGCGGUGAAAUGCGUAGAUAUCUGGAGGAAUACCUGUGGCGAAAGCGGCCUCCUAAACGAAUACUGACACUGAGGGUGCGAAAGCCGUGGGGAGCAAACAGGGAUUAGAUACC